UCUCCAAAAAAUGAAAACACUUAGACCGAUAGAGAGAGAGAGAGAGAGAGACAGACAGAGAGAAGGGUCUGUGCUGUUGAAACAAUGAAAACUGCGGUUUACAGAAUCAAGAAUCAAGAACUAACAUCUCAGAAUUGAUCCUUCUUCUUCAGUCUCAAUUCUUCAUGGAAAUGGCGGAACCUCCUCCUCCUCCUCCUCCUCCUCCUCGGUAUCAUGAUCACAACUCAUCCUCCUAUAAUCCUAACAGCAGUGGCACAAAUGUCUUUAGAUUGCUAGCACAAAGAGAGAUUGCGCCUAGAACCAAACAUGUUCCAAGGUGGCGCUGGGGAGAAUCUUGCAAAUCGAAAUCCGGUUCUUGCUCCCAUCGGAAAAGUGAAGCAGUAAUAGAUGCAAAGCGUGGUCUUCUCUCAUGGGUUGAGGCUGAGUCGUUGUUGCAUUUGUCAGCUAAGUAUUGCCCUUUAUUGCCUCCACCACGGUCUACUAUUGCUGCGGCAUUCAGUCCAGAUGGAAAAGUGCUUGCCUCCACACAUGGUGACCACACAGUAAAGUUAAUGGAUUGUCAAACUGGAAAUUGCUUACAGGUGUUAGUUGGCCAUAGAAGGACACCUUGGGUUGUUAGGUUCCAUCCAUUACAUCAACGGAUACUUGUUAGCGGGAGCUUGGACCAAGAAGUUCGUUUAUGGGAUGCUAACACAUCAGAGCGGAUAUUAUCUCACUAUUUCUAUCGCCCUAUUGCAUCCCUUGCUUUACAUGCCAGCGGGGAAAUAAUUGCUGUUGCAUCAGGCCACAAGUUGUACAUGUGGCACUACAAUAAUGGAGGUGAAGCAUUUCAACCAGUGGCUGUGUUGAAGACAAGGCGCUCACUCCGUGCCGUGCAUUUUCACCCACAUGCUGCACCAUAUCUUUUAACUGCUCAGGUCAAUGAUCUCGACCCGUCAGAUUACUCUAUGACAGAGGCAACAUCUCUCGGUUAUUUACAAUAUCCUCCUCCUGUUGUUUUUGUCACAAAUGUUCAACCUAGGACACUGAUCCAUUUGUCAAGUAAACCGCCCAACAUGUCAUUACGUCUCUUCAUGCCUUCAUAUACUGCAGACGAGUCCAGAGUAGAACUACAGCAUGCUAGGCAUGGUGUUGGUUCUAGUAGCAUGCAGGUUGAAGCAAAUGAAACAGAACAACAUGAUACUGCAUUGUCAUCAUCUGAGAUUCCCGCUAGCUCUCAAACUAGUGCAGAAUAUAAUGCUCAUACUACUUCACCUAAUCAAAUGAGAACUGGCAUCAGUAACCUCACAAUGGGUGGUAUGGAGACUAAUGAAACACAAACAGAAGCAGCAGAUGUAAGCCAACAUGAAAACUCUGCAAACGGAUUUCAUCAGUUUUUCCCUUCAAGAAAUCCAAGUGGAUGGGAGUUACCUUUUCUGCAAGGAUGGUUAAUGGGUCAAAGCCAAGUUGGCGUUCCCUCAAUGCUUCAUCACAUUGGUGGUAGUCGUGACAGCUUUCCACAGCAGAUUGGUCCUUCCACCAUGGGAUCUAAUCCGUCCACAACUAAUGUUGAGGCAGCAAUGUCGUCUUCAGAAAUGCCUGCCACAAUCAGCAUACCUGCAGCUUCUAUGAGAUCAGGUUUACAGAAUCAUUUUUCUCAAUCCCAUAUACCUGUAUCUGACUCUGGCAAUCUUCUUGCUUCUGUUAAUGCCCCACGUGAUGGGUCUGACAGCCAAACCAUUAUAAAUCGAAUCCAGUCAGAACAUGCUACGUCUGCGGCUGCUGCAGCUGCUACAGAGUUGCCUUGCACUGUUAAGUUAAAAGUAUGGCCAUAUGACAUUGAAAAUCCUUGUGCUCUGCUAAGAGGAUGUCGUCUAGUCAUACCACAUGUUGUCCUUUGCAGUGAAAUGGGUGCCCAUUUUUCACCAUGUGGUAGAUUUUUAGCUGCCUGCGUUGCAUGUAUGCAUCCUCAUACAGAAGGUGAUCCCGGAUCACAAAAUCUUGCACGCCAGGACCCUGGAGUUGCAACAUCGCCAACUCGACAUCCGAUCUCAGCGCAUCAAGUAAUGUAUGAGCUCCGGAUAUAUUCCCUUGAGGAGGAAACAUUUGGAUCGGUGCUUGUUUCACGGGCAAUUCGAGCUGCUCAUUGUCUGACUUCAAUUCAGUUCUCACCUACAUCUGAGCAUAUACUGCUUGCGUAUGGUCGACGUCAUGGCUCUCUUCUUAAAAGCAUUAUCAUUGAUGGAGAAACAACAUUACCAAUCUAUACAGUGUUAGAGGUAUACAGAGUGUCUGAUAUGGAACUUGUCAGGGUGCUGCCUAGUGCAGACGAUGAGGUCAAUGUGGCAUGCUUUCAUCCUUUUCCUGGGGGAGGGCUUGUUUAUGGAACCAAGGAAGGAAAGCUUAGGAUCUUCCAGUUUGACCGCGCUCGCACUGUGAAUGGCACUGGACCAGGUUACUUCCUUGCGGAGAACUUCAUUGGAGUUGGUCAGUGAGCAAGGUUUAAACUCAUGAUUGGGGGUAGAAUUUAAUUAUGCGCUACAGAUUUAUCUGCACAACUAAAAUGCUUUCUCCGCUGAUGAUCUACACAAACAACACAGAACAAUACUGAGCACAUGCAACUAAGUGGUGGAACUUCAUUACUGGAUCAGAAAAUGCAUAUUUUGUUGUAUACUUCAUGUAUGAACAUGUAACAAUAUUGUGCUGGUUCAAUUCAAAACCCGUAUGUAUUUCUUCUUUUCUCCCCCACCCCUGACAUAGAAGGGGCUUUUUCAUAUUCACAUCUAAACUGUAUCUAGUAAAGCUAGGAAAAGGAUGAUUUUUUUCCCUCCUGAAAUUCUUGAGGAAAUCGGGCUCCAGAUAACCCGAAUGGUUUUGGUUGAAUGGAGCAUGAUAGAGUCUUGUAUCUCUCAGAUUGUAGGUUUGAGCCCUCACUUAUUCCUUGAUGUGAGGUAAACAUAAAUCUGCAUAUUUUAUCUUAUUUUUUUGCAAGGGAUAUUUAUCCUAUUUACUUAUAGUUAAAUUGGAAUUGGAGGUAUAAACGCCUAUUUCAGAGAA
Lotus japonicus is the source of this 3036-nucleotide RNA transcript. RefSeq lists it as uncharacterized. Lineage: Eukaryota; Viridiplantae; Streptophyta; Magnoliopsida; Fabales; Fabaceae. The transcript has 15 exons. The record is from RefSeq and is a predicted model, not a curated record.